AUUGAGUGACUUUCCAGGUGUCACACAGUGAGUGGCAUAAUCAGAGUACAAUUUGAGUCAUGCCCAUACAUCACAUUGCCAGUGAUUACCCAAGGAAAGUGACGUACAUGU
Molecule: microRNA precursor, 111 nt
Filed under: Gorilla gorilla (western gorilla)
Lineage: Eukaryota; Metazoa; Chordata; Mammalia; Primates; Hominidae
Also listed under: 2 other names
Description: microRNA ggo-mir-23c precursor
Gene: ggo-mir-23c
Rfam family: mir-23c microRNA precursor family
Source: miRBase by way of RNAcentral